Molecule: small nuclear RNA, 107 nt
Filed under: Microcebus murinus (gray mouse lemur)
Lineage: Eukaryota; Metazoa; Chordata; Mammalia; Primates; Cheirogaleidae
Source: RNAcentral
GUGUUUACUUUGGCAGCACAUAUACUAAAAUUGGAAUGAUACAAAGAAGAUUAGCUUGGCCUCUGCACAAGGAUGACACACAAAUUUGUAAAGCAUUCCUUUUUUUU